AUAUCAGUAAGCGGAGGAAAAGAAACUAACGAGGAUUCUCCCAGUAACGGCGAGUGAAGCGGGAACAGCCCAUGACGAACGGUCUGCCGUGGCAGGCAGACUGAGUGUGUCGUGGAGCGGCGCGCGGUGCGAGGCGCAAGUCGCAGGUCCCUGGAAAGGGGCGGCAGAGAGGGUGAGACCCCCGUGGCGACGAGCGACGGAGCACAGCGAGCGGCGCAGCGAGUCGGAUUGUUUGGGAAUGCAAUCCCAAGUCGGUGGUACGCGCCAUCUAAGGCUAAACAGCGGCAAGAGACCGAUAGCGCACAAGUA
Molecule: ribosomal RNA, 309 nt
Filed under: uncultured eukaryote
Lineage: Eukaryota
Description: partial large subunit ribosomal RNA
Rfam family: Eukaryotic large subunit ribosomal RNA
Source: RNAcentral